Molecule: ribosomal RNA, 731 nt
Filed under: Micromonospora sp. 2-82
Lineage: Bacteria; Bacillati; Actinomycetota; Actinomycetes; Micromonosporales; Micromonosporaceae
Description: bacterial SSU rRNA
Rfam family: Bacterial small subunit ribosomal RNA
Source: RNAcentral
CGAGCGGAAAGGCCCUUCGGGGUACUCGAGCGGCGAACGGGUGAGUAACACGUGAGCAACCUGCCCCAGGCUUUGGGAUAACCCCGGGAAACCGGGGCUAAUACCGAAUAUGACCUCUGACCGCAUGGUUGGUGGUGGAAAGUUUUUCGGCUUGGGAUGGGCUCGCGGCCUAUCAGCUUGUUGGUGGGGUGAUGGCCUACCAAGGCGACGACGGGUAGCCGGCCUGAGAGGGCGACCGGCCACACUGGGACUGAGACACGGCCCAGACUCCUACGGGAGGCAGCAGUGGGGAAUAUUGCACAAUGGGCGGAAGCCUGAUGCAGCGACGCCGCGUGAGGGAUGACGGCCUUCGGGUUGUAAACCUCUUUCAGCAGGGACGAAGCGUAAGUGACGGUACCUGCAGAAGAAGCGCCGGCCAACUACGUGCCAGCAGCCGCGGUAAGACGUAGGGCGCGAGCGUUGUCCGGAUUUAUUGGGCGUAAAGAGCUCGUAGGCGGCUUGUCGCGUCGACCGUGAAAACUUGGGGCUCAACCCCGAGCCUGCGGUCGAUACGGGCAGGCUAGAGUUCGGUAGGGGAGACUGGAAUUCCUGGUGUAGCGGUGAAAUGCGCAGAUAUCAGGAGGAACACCGGUGGCGAAGGCGGGUCUCUGGGCCGAUACUGACGCUGAGGAGCGAAAGCGUGGGGAGCGAACAGGAUUAGAUACCCUGGUAGUCCACGCUGUAAACGUUGG